Molecule: ribosomal RNA, 433 nt
Filed under: uncultured bacterium
Lineage: Bacteria
Description: partial 16S ribosomal RNA
Rfam family: Bacterial small subunit ribosomal RNA
Source: RNAcentral
AACGAACGCUGGCGGCAUGCCUAACACAUGCAAGUCGAACGAGACCUUCGGGUCUAGUGGCGCACGGGUGCGUAACACGUGGGAAUCUGCCCUUUGCUUCGGAAUAACAGUUAGAAAUGACUGCUAAUACCGGAUGAUGUCGAAAGACCAAAGAUUUAUCGGCAAAGGAUGAGCCCGCGUAGGAUUAGGUAGUUGGUGGGGUAAAGGCCUACCAAGCCGACGAUCCUUAGCUGGUCUGAGAGGAUGAUCAGCCACACUGGGACUGAGACACGGCCCAGACUCCUACGGGAGGCAGCAGUGGGGAAUAUUGGACAAUGGGCGAAAGCCUGAUCCAGCAAUGCCGCGCGAGUGAUGAAGGCCUUAGGGUUGUAAAGCUCUUUUACCAGGGAUGAUAAUGACAGUACCUGGAGAAUAAGCGCCGGCUAACUCCGUG